This 677-nucleotide long non-coding RNA is filed under the name Parus major (Great Tit). RNAcentral's name for it is "lncRNA (ENSPMJG00000016815.1)". Lineage: Eukaryota; Metazoa; Chordata; Aves; Passeriformes; Paridae. The record is from RNAcentral.
AUGUUGUUUACCAUAUCUCUACCUCCCAAGCCCAUCCUACAAAACAGUCACUCUGUGUUGGAAACAGAAAUUACAUCCUCUAAGAUAUUUACAGGACUUAUUCACAGCCCAGUGUUGCUUGCAGAACACAGCUUUACAGAACACAGCUUUACAGAACCCAUCCAGGGAAUAUUUCAGCAGAGAAGCAAUUAUCACUUCUCCAUCUCCUGCAAAGGAAAGUCAGCUUCUCCUGCUGUGUGUGACCUGUGGUUGCAACGUGGAAAUGGAAACUUGGAACCUCUGUGUGAGGAGGAUCCUGAGACACUGGAAUUCAGCACAGAUUUCUUCUUUUCCUUAGACCUUUACCAGCUUAAAUCACCUGAAGAUAUGGCUUGAACUCUUGAAUACAUUUUAUGGACCAUAAAUUUAAAAAGAGGAAACAAUUUGAUCCCUUCUUAUUAACCUUUAAAAUUAUUCUCCUCUUCAAACCCAGUGGAGUCUCUGCUGAAGCAGCAGAUACUCUGCACAAAUGUGAAGUGACCAGUGUGAAGAGAACUGGCUGGAAGCUGAUGAGAAAUGUAAUCCCAGAAAAGCCCUCUGUUCUAUAUAAAUUAAGGCAAUUAAGGCUCAUUGAAAACUCCUCUGGACCCACUGUCAAAGCAAAUAAACAACCACCCAGCAGUGCGUGAAUGUGUAAU